AUGGGCCGGGUCUACCCGCGCCGUGACGGAAACCCCCGUGCCCCUGCCCUCUGGCUUCUUCUCCCUGCCGGAGUCGCCCGCCCCAUUAAAACGGUGGGAGAAGGAGAAGCUUCUCCUCCUCCUCCUCCCCCCGCCCCGAAAUCCGCACCCAUAUUCCGAAAUCGAGAGGUCAAAAUCUCCGCCGGGAACGAAAUUCCCCGAUUGUUUGUCUCGUACGCGCCUGGAACGGAUUCCGGGCCUGGAGCUUCGCUGGGGAGAUCGAUUCCGGAGCCGGAGGGGAUGUCAGGGCCCCUCGACCGAUUAGCCAGGCCAUCUUUUGAAGGAUUUACACAUAAUGAUGGAAAGAAAGAGAGCAGAUCGGAUGCAGACAACUCAGAAGGAGAGAAGAAGACUAAAAUAGCCUCCUUCAAGAAAAAGGCAAUUAACGCAGGGAACAAAUUCAGACAUUCCCUAAGGAGGAGAAGCAAAAAGAAGAAUGACAAUCAGAUUUCCAUCGAGGACAUAAGACAUGUUCAAGAUCUACAGGCCGUUGAAGCAUUUCGACAAUGCUUGCUUGAUGAGGACUUGUUGCCACAACAACAUGAUGAUUACCACAUGAUGCUGAGGUUCCUGAAGGCACGGAAGUUUGAUGUUGAGAAGGCAAAGCUUAUGUGGUCUGAUAUGCUUACAUGGAGAAAGGAAUUUGGGACCGACAAUAUAGAGGAAUUUGAUUACGCUGAGUUAAACGAAGUUAUGAAGUAUUAUCCACAGUUUUACCAUGGGGUGGAUAAAGAUGGAAGACCUGUCUAUGUGGAGUUAAUAGGAAAAGUUGAUGCCAACAAGGUGCUGCAAGUAACAACUAUAGACCGAUAUGUGAAAUAUCAUGUCAAGGAGUUUGAGAAAUGUUUCCAGAUGAGAUUUCCAGCUUGCUCAAUUGCUGCAAAACGGCACCUGGACUCAUGCACAACUAUUCUGGAUGUGCAAGGCGUGGGAUUGAAGAACUUCUCGAAAUGUGCAAGGGAACUAAUCACCCGACUGCAGAAGAUUGACAGUGACAACUACCCAGAGACAUUAUGCCGGAUGUACAUAAUUAAUGCUGGCCAAGGCUUCAAGAUGUUAUGGGGCACAAUAAAGUCUUUUCUUGAUCCGAAAACUGCUUCAAAGAUUCAUGUUCUUGGAACCAAGUACCAAAAUAAGCUACUUGAAAUAAUUGAUGAGAGUGAAUUGCCAGAAUUUUUUGGUGGCAAAUGCAAGUGUGAAGAACAUGGAGGUUGUCAGAGAUCAGAUAAAGGUCCUUGGAAGGAUCCCACCACAAUAAAGAGGGUCCUGAAUGGCGAGGCAAACUACGACAGACAAAUCGUGACCAUAUCAGGCACUGAUGGCAAGAUCAUCAGUUAUGCUAGGCCACAGCGCCCAAAUCAGGGAAAGGGCAGUGAUGCAUCUGCUGAGUCUGGGUCUGAAGUGGAAGAUGUUACAUCUCCUAUUGCACCAAAGACCCUCAUAACGAAUCCUUCUUUGACCCCUGUUCAUGAGGAGUCAAAAUUUGCAGCACAUGCAUCCACGUCUGCUGCUCGCCCCACUAUUGAAGAAAGCAUCCCUGUUGUUGACAAGGUUGUGGACGACGGAUGGAGCAGCCCCAGAGCUAGUCCAGUGUCCUCUUCCUCAGGUUCAUUAUCCUUGAGAAAUCUACCGACCACAUUCGAAGGAAUUCGGACCUUGGUUGUCGCAUGGCUGACAGUCUUCAUCGUGACCCUUUUCGCCAUGCUUCGAAGUAUCCCGAGCAGAAUGGCCAAAAGGCUCUCGAACCAAUCCAAUGAUCACGACCACUAUUACGUGGACUGCCCUCAAGAGCAAGAGUACAAGGAGGAGUUCCGACCUCCGUCUCCUGCCCCGGCCUACACGGAGAAGGAAAUCCUUUCAACUCUGGUAAGACGGCUAGGUGAGCUGGAGGAGAAGGUGCAGGCGCUUGAAAAAAAGCCAUCCGAGAUGCCAUUCGAGAAGGAGGAGCUGCUCAAUGCGUCCGCCCGCCGUGUGGACGCCUUGGAAGCCGACUUGAUUUCUACAAAGAAGGCCCUCUACGAGGCGCUGAUGCGUCAGGACGAGCUGCUCGCAUUCAUCGACAAGCAAGACAUGCUCAAGUUCCGCAAGAAGAAACUCUGCUUCUGA
Molecule: ribosomal RNA, 2145 nt
Filed under: Triticum aestivum (bread wheat)
Lineage: Eukaryota; Viridiplantae; Streptophyta; Magnoliopsida; Poales; Poaceae
Description: partial small subunit ribosomal RNA
Source: RNAcentral